This 430-nucleotide ribosomal RNA is filed under the name Acidobacteriota bacterium. Its description in RNAcentral is "Acidobacteria bacterium partial 16S ribosomal RNA". It matches the Rfam family "Bacterial small subunit ribosomal RNA", at positions 355 to 776 of the family's 1533-position model. The record is from RNAcentral. Lineage: Bacteria; Pseudomonadati; Acidobacteriota.
UGGGGAAUAUUGGACAAUGGGCGCAAGCCUGAUCCAGCCAUGCCGCGUGUGUGAAGAAGGCCUUUUGGUUGUAAAGCACUUUAAGCGAGGAGGAGGCUACUUGGAUUAAUACUCUAAGAUAGUGGACGUUACUCGCAGAAUAAGCACCGGCUAACUCUGUGCCAGCAGCCGCGGUAAUACAGAGGGUGCGAGCGUUAAUCGGAUUUACUGGGCGUAAAGCGUGCGUAGGCGGCUUCUUAAGUCGGAUGUGAAAUCCCUGAGCUUAACUUAGGAAUUGCAUUCGAUACUGGGAAGCUAGAGUAGGGGAGAGGAUGGUAGAAUUCCAGGUGUAGCGGUGAAAUGCGUAGAGAUCUGGAGGAAUACCGAUGGCGAAGGCAGCCAUCUGACCUAAUACUGACGCUGAGGUACGAAAGCAUGGGGAGCAAACAGG